CCUACGGGAGGCUGCAGUGGGGAAUAUUGGACAAUGGGCGAAAGCCUGAUCCAGCCAUGCCGCGUGUGUGAAGAAGGCCUUCGGGUUGUAAAGCACUUUCAGUGGGGAAGAAAGCCUUGGGGCUAAUACCCUCGAGGAAGGACAUCACCCACAGAAGAAGCACCGGCUAACUCCGUGCCAGCAGCCGCGGUAAUACGGAGGGUGCGAGCGUUAAUCGGAAUUACUGGGCGUAAAGCGCGCGUAGGCGGUCUGAUAAGCCGGUUGUGAAAGCCCCGGGCUCAACCUGGGAACGGCAUCCGGAACUGUCAGGCUAGAGUGCAGGAGAGGAAGGUAGAAUUCCCGGUGUAGCGGUGAAAUGCGUAGAGAUCGGGAGGAAUACCAGUGGCGAAGGCGGCCUUCUGGACUGACACUGACGCUGAGGUGCGAAAGCGUGGGUAGCAAACAGGAUUACAUACCCUAGUAGUC
RNAcentral lists this ribosomal RNA (465 nucleotides) under Vreelandella stevensii. RNAcentral's name for it is "partial 16S ribosomal RNA". It matches the Rfam family "Bacterial small subunit ribosomal RNA", at positions 338 to 795 of the family's 1533-position model. The record is from RNAcentral. Lineage: Bacteria; Pseudomonadati; Pseudomonadota; Gammaproteobacteria; Oceanospirillales; Halomonadaceae.